This 465-nucleotide ribosomal RNA is filed under the name uncultured bacterium. RNAcentral describes it as "partial 16S ribosomal RNA". It matches the Rfam family "Bacterial small subunit ribosomal RNA", at positions 339 to 795 of the family's 1533-position model. The record is from RNAcentral.
CUACGGGCCGCUGCAGUGAGGAAUUUUGCGCAAUGGGGGUAACCCUGACGCAGCAACGCCGCGUGAGUGAUGAAGGCUUUCGGGUCGUAAAGCUCUGUCAAGUGGGAAGAAUAUACGAAAUGCUAAUACCAUUUUGUACUGACGGUACCACUGAAGGAAGCACCGGCUAACUCCGUGCCAGCAGCCGCGGUAAUACGGGGGGUGCAAGCGUUAUUCGGAAUUAUUGGGCGUAAAGAGCACGUAGGCGGCCGCUUAAGUCAGAUGUGAAAGCCCGGGGCUCAACCCCGGAAGUGCAUUUGAAACUAAGUGGCUUGAGUAUGGGAGAGGGAAGUGGAAUUCCUGGUGUAGAGGUGAAAUUCGUAGAUAUCAGGAGGAACACCGGUGGCGAAGGCGACUUCCUGGACCAAUACUGACGCUGAGGUGCGAAGGCGUGGGGAGCAAACAGGAUUAGAUACCCCUGUAGUC